UGUACAGUCGCUUUCUCUUCCUCUUCCGUGUUGUGGCAGUGCCGGAGAAUCGGUGAAGCUCAGGAGGGAUAGCGCCGUUUCAAACCUUUCUUUUUUUUGGAGGUGGCGCUAUCCAUCCUGAGUUUCAUGGCUUCUUCGUACUUUAUGAUAUGUGUGUCCUCUCGAUUUGCCCCCUUGUCGUCGGUCGGCAUCGCUCAACAAGCCGCAUCUUCUGUGUAAUUUGACUGUGCGGCUUCCCCUUUUUCUCUCGUGAUUUUAUGAUCCCAGCAGUUGAUGUAUAGAUACCUCAUGUGUGCUCUUCCUCUCUUAUCAGGGGUUAGGGUUCAGGGCAACUGAUUUGCUUCUUCGUUUCUAUUUUUCUAUCUUUUUGGUACUGAGUCUUCAGUCUUCUUGGAGGCUGCGAAGCGAUCGGCUUCACUUGAGAGAAGAUCGAGAGGCCAGGUUGACUUGGGAGUACAGGAAGUUGCCAUCAUGCUAAUCAUUUCGUAAAUGGUGAAUCUGUGUUCAUUUGUGUUCUUAACUCUCUCUCUCUCUCUCUCUCUCUCUCCCUCUCUCAUUCUUAUGACUCUUGCCAGCUUCAUGUCUUAGCUUGUUUUACAUGCAUCUUCUCUAGUCAUACGGAUGGCGUUAAUCAAUUUGGACCCAUUUCAAGGGCUUAGCGAUAUGCCCUCCCAGAUGGAUGAGUAAGUUUUACUCCUUCCUUCGUACCCAGGGAUCUCUCUCGAAAAGAAGAAACCUUCACAGUGCUAGUGCUUUACUUUUCUGUGGGUGUAUCUUAUCCCAAUAACCUCCUCGCUACUUUGUUUUUAGUUACUGCUCAAAGAACGUCUGAAUUGGUUCCGAAACUAUGGAUUACUACUCCAUCUCAAGCUAAAUCUUUACUUCAUAAUCUAUGCAUGUUCCAUAUCUAUUGUUUUCGAGCCAGAUGCACCUACUAUUCUUUUUGUUCUCUAACAAGGUUAGCUUUUGAGAUGAUCGGCCUCUUUCUGUUCCCCCAGCUUCUUUUUCAAGCGAGGACAUUAUAUGUCGACAUAAGAUCCUUUACAAUCAGUGAGUUCAGUUUGGGCAAGUGUUUGGAUCUCUUCUCAGGCUGAGCUGGUUGGGCUGCUGGUAUGACUAGACCUCGAAACCCUAGCCUUCAGCUGAAGAAGCUGAAUUGGAAGUUGCAGGGUUAGGGUUUCAACUGUGCUUGAGUUAAUACUGUUGCAGGCGUUUUCAAUGAAAGAUACUAAUUGCGGAUGUUGACUCGUUCCGACUACGUUCAAGUCAUCCACUGUAAAAGCUAUAUUUUUUUUUUUUUUAAAUGUGUUGAUCCGUGUACACACCUAUCAUGAUGACGACCAUCAUGGCCGCAUUGAAAGCCAAAUCUUUGUAAAUUCAUACCGUUCCAUCACGUAUAUAGAGACUGUAAGACUAAAGUAGAUGAAGAGCUCCUUGAUUUGUUUA
Long non-coding RNA from Eucalyptus grandis, 1446 nucleotides. RefSeq lists it as uncharacterized. The record is from RefSeq and is a predicted model, not a curated record. The transcript has 2 exons. NCBI's taxonomy places the organism in Eukaryota, Viridiplantae, Streptophyta, Magnoliopsida, Myrtales, Myrtaceae.